RNAcentral lists this ribosomal RNA (465 nucleotides) under uncultured bacterium. Its description in RNAcentral is "partial 16S ribosomal RNA". It matches the Rfam family "Bacterial small subunit ribosomal RNA", at positions 338 to 795 of the family's 1533-position model. The record is from RNAcentral.
CCUACGGGAGGCUGCAGUGGGGAAUAUUGCGCAAUGGGCGAAAGCCUGACGCAGCGACGCCGCGUGAGGGAUGAAGGUCUUCGGAUCGUAAACCUCUGUCAGCAGGGAAGCACGGUCACUGUGCUAAUCAGCAGUGCAUUUACGGUACCUGCAAAGGAAGCACCGGCUAACUCCGUCCCAGCAGCCGCUGUAAUACGGAGGGUGCGAGCGUUAAUCGGAAUUACUGGGCGUAAAGCGCUCGUAGGCGGUAUGUCAAGUCAAGGGUGAAAUCCCCGCGCUCAACGUGGGAACUGCCUUUGAAACUGGCAAACUGGAGUGGGUGAGAGGUUAGCGGAAUUCCAGGUGUAGGAGUGAAAUCCGUAGAUAUCGGGAGGAACAUCAGUGGCGAAGGCGACUAUCUGGCACAUAACUGACGCUGAGGAGCGAAAGCGUGGGUAGCAAACAGGAUUAGAUACCCGUGUAGUC